Long non-coding RNA from Carica papaya (papaya), 816 nucleotides. RefSeq lists it as uncharacterized. NCBI's taxonomy places the organism in Eukaryota, Viridiplantae, Streptophyta, Magnoliopsida, Brassicales, Caricaceae. The record is from RefSeq and is a predicted model, not a curated record.
CCUUAGCUAACCAUUAUAAAUUCCUCUCAUUAUAUGCAUAUGGCCUUAACGCAUUUUUUUUCAACUUCUACCCACAAAUCCUCCUCUUAAACCUCUUCUCUUUUGCUCGUAUUGGUAAGGACCAGCUAAUCUGCAUCCUGAGGUUUGGAUCGACAUACCUGUCGUGUAUAUAUAUAUAUGUAUCCAGACCUUGGGAUGCGGAUUACCUUUUCCUGCCAAUACCAAUAUAUACAUAUAUUUUUACUUGUUGAAGCUAGAACACUGACAACUGAUAUCAUCAGGUGCUAUCCAAAGAUCAACUUCUUCCCUUUCUCUUAUUUUGUUCAUUGGUUUGUUUUAUUGUUUGGUUUUCAGUUUCAGCUCAGCUUCUCUAAUGUCAUUUCCUAAUUUGGUGCUUAUUUUAAGGAGGCUGCGAGUCAAGUCUUUACCAUCUUUGAAGAUGAGAGAAACUCCAUCAUCUCCACUCUGAAGAAGAUGAAACUACCACGUAAAGGAGUGAUGCAAGAUCCAAACUCUUUUCCAGCCACACAAUGGCAUUCUGGUCCAUGAGCGUCAUCGAAUUUCUGUUUACAGCAUCUGAUAUUAAUCAUUACCUCUAUAUAUAUGUUAGCUGAAAGUGGACAUGUAAAGGGCUGGUGGGGUCUGAUAAAUGAGUCUUUCACCAGCUGCUAGCUUAUCCACCAUUGUCAAUUGCUAAUGUUCUUUUCCCUUGAUUGAUUCUUAAGAAAGAUAUAUAAGCAUAUUUGAAGGGAAAAAAGCAUAAAAAUAGUUUGAGAAUGCAUGACUAAUUGCAUGCAGCCAUGCUUUAUCCCAUGA